Molecule: ribosomal RNA, 316 nt
Filed under: uncultured Bacillota bacterium
Lineage: Bacteria; Bacillati; Bacillota
Description: bacterial SSU rRNA
Rfam family: Bacterial small subunit ribosomal RNA
Source: RNAcentral
GACGAACGCUGGCGGCGUGCCUAACACAUGCAAGUCGAGCGAGAAACUUCGGUUUCUAGCGGCGGACGGGUGAGUAACACGUGGGUAACCUGCCUCAUAGUGGGGGAUAGCCUUUCGAAAGGAAGAUUAAUACCGCAUAACACAGUUUGAUCGCAUGGUCAGAUUGUCAAAGGAGUAAUCCGCUAUGAGAUGGACCCGCGGCGCAUUAGCUAGUUGGUGAGGUAACGGCCCACCAAGGCGACGAUGCGUAGCCGACCUGAGAGGGUGAUCGGCCACAUUGGAACUGAGAUACGGUCCAGACUCCUACGGGAGGCUG